Molecule: ribosomal RNA, 468 nt
Filed under: uncultured bacterium
Lineage: Bacteria
Description: partial 16S ribosomal RNA
Rfam family: Bacterial small subunit ribosomal RNA
Source: RNAcentral
GACGAACGCUGGCGGCGUGCUUAAUACAUGCAAGUCGAACGGAAAGGCCCUGCUCUUGUGGCGUGCUCGAGUGGCGCACGCGUGUGUAACACGCGUGUAACAUGUGCCUGUCAUUGGGGUAACACCAGGAAAAACGGGUUCUAAUCCCGUAUGAGCUCUUGCUGCACGGUGUGGGAUGGUAAGAUCUGGAGGUUGUGGAUGGUAUAGCGGCUCAUCCGCUUGUUGGUGAGGUUGUGGCUUACCAGGGCUUUGACGGGUAGCCGGCCUGGGAAGGUGACCGGGCACAUUGGGACUGAGGAACGGCCCAGACGCCAACGGGGGGCAGCGGUGGGGAGUAUGGCGCAAUAGGCUGAAGCGUGAUGCAGCGACUCCGCGUGCGGAAAAACGGCCUUCUGGUUGUAAACCGCUUUCGCCUGUGACGAAGAGUGAGUGACGGUAAUGGGUAAGGAAGCACCGGCUAACUACGUG